This 459-nucleotide long non-coding RNA is filed under the name Felis catus (domestic cat). Its description in RNAcentral is "lncRNA (ENSFCAG00000051541.1)". Lineage: Eukaryota; Metazoa; Chordata; Mammalia; Carnivora; Felidae. The record is from RNAcentral.
CACAGUAAGUCUUGUUGAUAAUAUAUAUAUUUUUUUUUUAGUUUAAUAAGUGGCAUACAUAAAUACAGAGCCCUCCAGAAUGCCAGUCCUAACUGACAUCUUCCAAAGUGACACUGCAUUGAUAAGAACUCUAAUGAUCCCUUUCAUUCAAGGUCCAACUCUAAAUCCCUAGCUGCGAGAUCCCGCAUCUGUCCCAUCAAGUUCUCUUCACAAGUGGAGUUUCAGCCUCCCUCUUUAAUUGGCUUUCUGGUGACAGCCCUGCUUUUUCUGAACAUUGCUUGGGAGUGGAGAAGAGAGUAAAGAAACAGCCUGAAAUCAAAGUGAACCAAGAAAAUUAAAUGUGAUUAUACCUGCCAGUUGCAUCCUUCAGGAAGGUAAAACUGUUUCUAUUUUGAAGAACAUUUUAAAAAUACUUGGUCCACUCUUGGCUUAAGUCAUUAUGAGUAAUUUACAUCCGGU